This 424-nucleotide ribosomal RNA is filed under the name uncultured cyanobacterium. Its description in RNAcentral is "bacterial SSU rRNA". It matches the Rfam family "Bacterial small subunit ribosomal RNA", at positions 356 to 795 of the family's 1533-position model. Lineage: Bacteria; Bacillati; Cyanobacteriota. The record is from RNAcentral.
GGGGAAUCUUCCGCAAUGGGCGAAAGCCUGACGGAGCAACGCCGCGUGAGGGAUGAAGGCCUCUGGGCUGUAAACCUCUUUUAUCAAGGAAGAAGAUCUGACGGUACUUGAUGAAUAAGCCACGGCUAAUUCCGUGCCAGCAGCCGCGGUAAUACGGGAGUGGCAAGCGUUAUCCGGAAUUAUUGGGCGUAAAGCGUCCGCAGGCGGCCCAACAAGUCUGCUGUUAAAAAGUGGAGCUUAACUCCAUCAUGGCAGUGGAAACUGUUGGGCUAGAGUGUGGUAGGGGCAGAGGGAAUUCCCGGUGUAGCGGUGAAAUGCGUAGAUAUCGGGAAGAACACCAGUGGCGAAGGCGGCUCUCUGGACCGCAACUGACGCUGAGGCGCGAAAGCUAGGGGAGCAAAUGGGAUUAGAUACCCCAGUAGUC